GGAGUAGGCGAGGCGGUUGCUCCUUCUUCUCGUAAAGAGUGAAGGGGAGGAAAGUCCGAACUCCAUAGGGCAGGAUGGUCGCUAACAGCGACUCCGAGCGAUCGGAGGAAAGUGCCACAGAAAACACACCGCCUCCAGAGAUGGGUGUCUCACCCAUCUUCUGAGGUAAGGGUGAAAAGGUGAGGUAAGAGCUCACCGUCCUGAUGGCGACAUCAGGGGCUUGGUAAACCCCAUCCGGAGAAAGACCAAAUUGGCCCUGAACGAGAUGGCCCGUCUCAUGGGGCGGGUAGGUCGAUCGAUCCCUUGAGCAAUCAAGGGGUAAGAUAAAUAACCGCCCCCGCCUUCGGUGGGAACAGAAUUCGGCUUACGUCCUGCUCCAGCC
This 382-nucleotide RNase P RNA is filed under the name Candidatus Aminicenantota bacterium. RNAcentral describes it as "RNase P RNA component class A". It matches the Rfam family "Bacterial RNase P class A". From Rfam's summary of the family: Ribonuclease P (RNase P) is a ubiquitous endoribonuclease, found in archaea, bacteria and eukarya as well as chloroplasts and mitochondria. Its best characterised activity is the generation of mature 5'-ends of tRNAs by cleaving the 5'-leader elements of precursor-tRNAs. Lineage: Bacteria; Candidatus Aminicenantota. The record is from RNAcentral.